CAAUCACUGCACACAUCUUCUGCUGCUGGGUGAGCCCUCUGAUUACUACUUCUCACUCACUGGUCUAAUGGGCAAGGUGAAUCUACAGCACAAUGGAUAAGGACAAUACUACGAAAUCAAGGACAGAGCCCCUGUCCUCCACACUCCAGGAUUACCAAGCUGAAAAAAAACCGUAGCCUCACCAGGAUCAAGCGGCCAUGCUCGCCUGCGAGGACCUCCAGCCUCCCUCGCCUUGCACCCCGCACCUCCCAGAGACUCCCGGGCGGCGCGCGCAGGCAGUGGUGCCCGCCCAGGCACCGGCUCUUCCCAGCAGGGCACCGCGUCCCGCCCUGGCCGCCUGACCCAGGAGCAGCUCGUGCGCUCGGCGGCCUCGCGACCUGUGCGGCCUCCGAUCCUCUGCUAAUGCGUAUCGAAUUUUUGUUGAAUGCGGCCCCGGGCCCGCGCAGAGAGCGCGGCGGCGACGCUGCCAGAGCCUCUUAAUUCCCUUUGCAUCGAUCCCGCCGUUAAUGACCUAACCUUCUCCCCUAAUUAACUGACAACUGCAUUAGGCGGCGCGCCUCCCCGCACGCAGCCUGCGGCUUCCCCACCGCGGUUCUGCCCGCGCCGAGGAGCCCGCGCCGAGGAGCCGCGCCAGCGGUGGGAGUGGGGGCGGCCGUUACCGCCCUGACUAAACCCAGAGCCCUGCCACUGGGGUCCGACGUGGGGGGUCGUAUUUCAGGUUUUGGAUGCGCCUUCGGUCCUGAUCCGUCACUAAACGUUUGCUGCCGUUGUUUAUGCUGUUGUUGCUUAGUUUGUGCCAACACUGGGCAGAACAUUUAACAUGCUUUAAGCUUACUGAUUCAUUACAACGACCCAAGAGGCGGAUGGAGGAAACUGGGCUCACAAGUGGAGGAACACAGCAAUCACCAAGGCUGUGCAGCAAGCGGCUGAGGGAGGUGGGACUCCCACCCUUUCUUACCCGAGUGUGCCCUUACUCGGCAUCCAAGAAGGAAGCUCAGGAGAUACUCCAAGGCCAGGAAAGAAGCCACAAAAGAAGCAAGCCCUGACUUCAGUGUAAAAGACUUGAAAACAGUACCUGAAUCAGUACUCCAGAAUCUCCUGCAUCCAGCACAGUGCCUUGCUGAGCCAGCACUCAUCAGAUGCUUAAGG
Long non-coding RNA from Prionailurus viverrinus (fishing cat), 1149 nucleotides. RefSeq lists it as uncharacterized. The record is from RefSeq and is a predicted model, not a curated record. The transcript is spliced from 4 exons. Lineage: Eukaryota; Metazoa; Chordata; Mammalia; Carnivora; Felidae.